UACGUAAGGAGCUAGCGUUGUCCGGAAUCAUUGGGCGUAAAGAGCGUGUAGGCGGCCAAGCAGGUCCGUUGUGAAAACUGGAGGCUUAACCUCCAGACGUCGACGGAAACCGCGUGGCUAGAGUCCGGAAGAGGAGAGUGGAAUUCCUGGUGUAGCGGUGAAAUGCGCAGAUAUCAGGAAGAACACCAAUGGCGAAGGCAGCUCUCUGGGACGGUACUGACGCUGAGACGCGAAAGCGUGGGGAGCAAACAGG
RNAcentral lists this ribosomal RNA (253 nucleotides) under uncultured bacterium. Its description in RNAcentral is "partial 16S ribosomal RNA". It matches the Rfam family "Bacterial small subunit ribosomal RNA", at positions 524 to 776 of the family's 1533-position model. The record is from RNAcentral.